This 81-nucleotide transfer RNA is filed under the name Spirochaetales bacterium. RNAcentral's name for it is "tRNA-Leu". It matches the Rfam family "tRNA". Rfam says of the family: Transfer RNA (tRNA) molecules are approximately 80 nucleotides in length. Their secondary structure includes four short double-helical elements and three loops (D, anti-codon, and T loops). The record is from RNAcentral. Lineage: Bacteria; Pseudomonadati; Spirochaetota; Spirochaetia; Spirochaetales. RNAcentral also lists the same sequence under 2 other names.
GCGAGAGUGGUGGAAUUGGCAGACACGCUAGAUUUAGGUUCUAGUAUCUUUGAUGUGCGGGUUCAAGUCCCGCCUCUCGCA